UAUUGGGCAGUUGGGAGGAUGCCCGGUUUGUCAGAAUGGAGCGGAGGACAUCAAACAUCUGCUGUUUACCUGUGAUCGAGCACGGGAAGUAUGGCAAGCUCUGGGUGUUAGGGAGAGAUUACAAUAUUAUCUUACCAUUGAUCGUUCAGGCUCAGUGGUGAUUGAUGAAAUAAUUAGAAGAGAAGAGUUGAUCGAUACUCUGAACGUGGGGUUAGCAGAAUUGGUGCUUACUGCGGGCUGGUAUCUUUGGUGGGAGAGAAGACAGAUCGUGCAUGGGGAGGAGGUCCAGCUUCCUGCAAGGUCAGCUAUGUCCAUCGCAGCGCUAACAAAGAAUUAUCAAAAUGCAAUGCAGAAAGGGUCAAAGCUGAGGCAGGGAUGGAAGAAACCCACUAAAGGAAAAGUAAUGGUGAAUGUUGAUGCGGCCUUUGAUGAAGAUGGAGGAAGAGGCAGUGUGGGAUCGAUC
This 463-nucleotide long non-coding RNA is filed under the name Setaria italica (foxtail millet). Its description in RNAcentral is "long non-coding RNA (SITA_LNC000648)". Lineage: Eukaryota; Viridiplantae; Streptophyta; Magnoliopsida; Poales; Poaceae. The record is from RNAcentral.